AACUUUCAGCAACGGAUCUCUUGGCUCUCGCAUCGAUGAAGAACGCAGCGAAAUCCGAUAAGUAAUGUGAAUUGCAGAAUUCAGUGAAUCAUCGAAUCUUUGAACGCAUCUUGCGCUCCUUGGUAUUCCGAGGAGCAUGCCUGUUUGAGUGUCAUUUAACUUCUCAAUCACUUGAUAUCCUAGUGGCUUGGAUCUGGGGGUUGUUUGCAGGCAUUUUCAGUCAAAAGGAAAGGUCGGCUCCCCUGAAAUGUAUUAGUGGUAUCUGAGCUGCUACUAUAGGUGUGAUAAUUAUCUAUGCCUUUGGUAUGCUGCAUGAACGGAUUGCACUGCUUAUUAACAAAGACAAACUUGAUAAAUUUGACCUCAAAUAAGGUAGGACUACCCGCUGAACUUAAGCAUAUCAAUAAGCGGAGGCU
Molecule: unclassified non-coding RNA, 416 nt
Filed under: uncultured Inocybe
Lineage: Eukaryota; Fungi; Basidiomycota; Agaricomycetes; Agaricales; Cortinariaceae
Description: sequence contains ITS2
Rfam family: 5.8S ribosomal RNA (bases 1-154)
Source: RNAcentral